UACGUAGGGACCAAGCGUUGUUCGGAUUUACUGGGCGUAAAGGGCGCGUAGGCGGCAUGACAAGUCACUUGUGAAAUCUCCGGGCUUAACUCGGAACGGCCAAGUGAUACUGUCACGCUAGAGUGCAGAAAGGGCAAUCGGAAUUCUUGGUGUAGCGGUGAAAUGCGUAGAUAUCAAGAGGAACACCUGAGGCGAAGGCGGGUUGCUAGGCUGACACUGACGCUGAGGCGCGAAAGCUAGGGGAGCGAACGGG
Molecule: ribosomal RNA, 253 nt
Filed under: uncultured bacterium
Lineage: Bacteria
Description: partial 16S ribosomal RNA
Rfam family: Bacterial small subunit ribosomal RNA
Source: RNAcentral